This 203-nucleotide ribosomal RNA is filed under the name uncultured bacterium. RNAcentral describes it as "partial 16S ribosomal RNA". It matches the Rfam family "Bacterial small subunit ribosomal RNA", at positions 1300 to 1500 of the family's 1533-position model. The record is from RNAcentral.
GCAGGCUGCAACCCGACCCUGCAUGAAGCUGGAAUCGCUAGUAAUCGCGGAUCAGAAUGCCGCGGUGAAUACGUUCCCGGGUCUUGUACACACCGCCCGUCACACCAUGGGAGUCGGUAACGCCCGAAGUCAGUGACCCAACCUUAAGGAGGGAGCUGCCGAAGGCGGGACUGGUAACUGGGGUGAAGUCGUAACAAGGUAAC